AUUGAACGCUGGCGGCAGGCCUAACACAUGCAAGUCGAGCGGAUGACGGGAGCUUGCUCCUUGAUUCAGCGGCGGACGGGUGAGUAAUGCCUAGGAAUCUGCCUGGUAGUGGGGGUCAACGUUUCGAAAGGAACGCUAAUACCGCAUACGUCCUACGGGAGAAAGCAGGGGACCUUCGGGCCUUGCGCUAUCAGAUGAGCCUAGGUCGGAUUAGCUAGUAGGUGAGGUAAUGGCUCACCUAGGCGACGAUCCGUAACUGGUCUGAGAGGAUGAUCAGUCACACUGGAACUGAGACACGGUCCAGACUCCUACGGGAGGCAGCAGUGGGGAAUAUUGGACAAUGGGCGAAAGCCUGAUCCAGCCAUGCCGCGUGUGUGAAGAAGGUCUUCGGAUUGUAAAGCACUUUAAGUUGGGAGGAAGGGUUGUACGUUAAUACCGUGCAAUUUUGACGUUACCGACAGAAUAAGCACCGGCUAACUCUGUGCCAGCCGCCGCCGUAA
This 500-nucleotide ribosomal RNA is filed under the name uncultured bacterium. RNAcentral's name for it is "partial 16S ribosomal RNA". It matches the Rfam family "Bacterial small subunit ribosomal RNA", at positions 30 to 523 of the family's 1533-position model. The record is from RNAcentral.